UACGGAGGGUGCGAGCGUUGUCCGGAAUCACUGGGCGUAAAGGGCGCGUAGGCGGCUUCUCAAGCGUGUGGUGAAAGUCCGGGGCUCAACCCCGGAUCGGCCGUGCGGACUGGGGAGCUCGAGUUCUGUAGAGGCGGGUGGAAUUCCGGGUGUAGCGGUGGAAUGCGUAGAGAUCCGGAAGGACACCGGUGGCGAAGGCGGCCCGCUGGGCAGAGACUGACGCUGAGGCGCGACAGCGUGGGGAGCAAACAGG
RNAcentral lists this ribosomal RNA (253 nucleotides) under uncultured bacterium. Its description in RNAcentral is "partial 16S ribosomal RNA". It matches the Rfam family "Bacterial small subunit ribosomal RNA", at positions 524 to 776 of the family's 1533-position model. The record is from RNAcentral.